This 443-nucleotide ribosomal RNA is filed under the name uncultured bacterium. Its description in RNAcentral is "partial 16S ribosomal RNA". It matches the Rfam family "Bacterial small subunit ribosomal RNA", at positions 338 to 795 of the family's 1533-position model. The record is from RNAcentral.
CCUACGGGAGGCUGCAGUGGGGAAUAUUGGGCAAUGGGCGCAAGCCUGACCCAGCAACGCCGCGUGAAGGAAGAAGGCUUUCGGGUUGUAAACUUCUUUUCUCAGGGACGAAGCAAGUGACGGUACAUGAGGAAUAAGCCACGGCUAACUACGUGCCAGCAGCCGCGGUAAUACGUAGGCGGCAAGCGUUAGCCGGAUUUACUGGGUGUAAAGGGCGAGUAGGCGGGACUGCAAGUCAGGAGUGAAAGCCCGUGGCGCAACCCCGGGACUGCUUUGGAAACUGCCAUUCUGGAGUGCUGGAGAGGUAGGCGGAAUUCCUGGUGUAGCGGUGAAAUGCGUAUAUAUUAGGAGGAACACCAGUGGCGAAGGCGGCUUGCUGGACAGUAACUGACGUUGAGGCGCGAAAGCGUGGGGAGCAAACAGGAUUAGAUACCCCUGUAGUC